RNAcentral lists this ribosomal RNA (1237 nucleotides) under metagenome. RNAcentral describes it as "bacterial LSU rRNA". It matches the Rfam family "Bacterial large subunit ribosomal RNA", at positions 1564 to 2810 of the family's 2925-position model. The record is from RNAcentral.
UGAAUACGAGACGCUAAGGCGUCGAAGUAGUGUAUGUCAUACUUCCAAGAAAAGCUUGCACUGUCAUGGAUAAAAAACGCCUGUACCAUAACCGACACAGGUGGGUAGGUAGAGUAUACUAAGGGGCGCGAGAUAACUCUCUCUAAGGUACUCGGCAAAAUAACUCCGUAACUUCGGGAGAAGGAGUGCCUUAUUCGUAAGGUUGCAAUAACAAGAUCCAAGCAACUGUUUAUCAAAAACUCAGGUCUCCGCUAAGUCGUAAGACGAUGUAUGGGGGCUGACGCCUGCCCAGUGCCAGAAGGUUAAAGAAGUUGGUUAGCAAUUGCGAAGCUGAUAACUGAAGCCCUGGUGAACGGCGGCCGUAACAAUAACGGUCCUAAGGUAGCGAAAUUCCUUGUCGGGUAAGUUCCGACCCGCACGAAAGGCGUAAUGAUUUGGAUACUGUCUCGGAGAGGGGCUCGGUGAAAUAGACUUGUCUGUGAAGAUGCGGACUACCUGCACCAGGACAGAAAGACCCUAUGAAGCUUUACUGUAACUUGAAAUUGAAAUUGGACUUUAUUCGCGCAGUAUAGGUGGGAGGCGUUGAUUAUAAUCUUGUGGGAUUAUUGGAGCCAUCAGUGAGAUACCACUCUUGUAAUGUUAGAUUUCUAACUUUGAAUCAUUAUCUGGUCAAAGAACAGUUUCAGGCGGGCAGUUCGACUGGGGCGGUCGCCUCCUAAACGGUAACGGAGGCGUACAAAGGUUUCCUCUGAACGGUUAGAAAUCGUAUCUAGAGUGUAAAGGCAUAAGGAAGCUUGACUGUGAGACCUACAAGUCGAGCAGGGACGAAAGUCGGUCUUAGUGAUCUGACGGUACUGAGUGGAAAGGCCGUCACUCAACGGAUAAAAGUUACUCUAAGGAUAACAGGCUGAUCUCCCCCAAGAGUUCACAUCGACGGGGAGGUUUGGCACCUCGAUGUCGGCUCAUCGCAUCCUGGGGCGGUAGUACGUCCCAAGGGUUGGGCUGUUCGCCCAUGAAAGCGGUACGCGAGCUGGGUUCAGAACGUCGUGAGACAGUUCGGUCCAUAUCCGGUGUAGGCGUUAGAAUAUUGAGAGGAGCCUUCUUUAGUACGAGAGGACCGAGAAGGACAUACCUCUGGUGUACCAGUUAUCGUGCCAACGGUAAACGCUGGGUAGCUAUGUAUGGAGUGGAUAACCGCUGAAAGCAUCUAAGUGGGAAGCCCCCCUCAAGAUAAGUA